Molecule: long non-coding RNA, 163 nt
Organism: Hyaena hyaena (striped hyena)
Lineage: Eukaryota; Metazoa; Chordata; Mammalia; Carnivora; Hyaenidae
Exons: 3
Source: RefSeq, a predicted model, not a curated record
GAAAUCCUCUCUAUAAUAUAAGAAGUCAUCUCCGCUUUCCAGAGAAGCAAAACGCAGGAUCUCUGAGGUAUAUCUCUUUUAAGAUGCAUGUACCUGUUUCACUUUUUAAAAAAUCUUUGCCUUUUGAGGGAGAUGGAGAGAGACAGCACGAUCCAGGGAGGUG